This 506-nucleotide ribosomal RNA is filed under the name uncultured Glomeromycotina. RNAcentral describes it as "partial small subunit ribosomal RNA". It matches the Rfam family "Eukaryotic small subunit ribosomal RNA", at positions 591 to 1092 of the family's 1831-position model. Lineage: Eukaryota; Fungi; Glomeromycota. The record is from RNAcentral.
CCAAUAGCGUAUAUUAAAGUUGUUGCAGUUAAAAAGCUCGUAGUUGAAUUUCGGGAUUGACACAUCGGUCGUGCCUUAAGGGGUAUGAACUGGUGUAGUCAAUUUCUCACCUUCUGGAGAACCGCGAUGCCCUUAAUUGGGUGUCGCGGGGAACCAGGACCUUUACUUUGAAAAAAUUAGAGUGUUUAAAGCAGGCAUUUAGCUUGAAUACAUUAGCAUGGAAUAAUAAAAUAGGACGGCAUGAUUCGAUUUUGUUGGUUUCUAGGAUCACCGUAAUGAUUAAUAGGGAUAGUUGGGGGCAUUAGUAUUCAAUUGUCAGAGGUGAAAUUCUUGGAUUUAUUGAAGACUAACUACUGCGAAAGCAUUUGCCAAGGAUGUUUUCAUUAAUCAAGAACGAAAGUUAGGGGAUCGGAGACGAUCAGAUACCGUCGUAGUCUUAACCAUAAACUAUGCCGACUAGGAAUCAGACGAUGUUAAUUUUUUAAUGACUCGUUUGGCACCUUACG